RNAcentral lists this RNase P RNA (376 nucleotides) under Microvirga massiliensis. Its description in RNAcentral is "Bacterial RNase P class A". It matches the Rfam family "Bacterial RNase P class A". From Rfam's summary of the family: Ribonuclease P (RNase P) is a ubiquitous endoribonuclease, found in archaea, bacteria and eukarya as well as chloroplasts and mitochondria. Lineage: Bacteria; Pseudomonadati; Pseudomonadota; Alphaproteobacteria; Hyphomicrobiales; Methylobacteriaceae. The record is from RNAcentral.
AGCCGGCCGGGCGGCCGCUCCGGGCGCAUGCCCGGGGAGGAAAGUCCGGGCUCCAUGGAGAUGCGGUGCCGGAUAACAUCCGGCGGGGGAAACCCCAGGGACAGUGCCACAGAAAGCAGACCGCCGCGGCCUCGGCCGCGGCAAGGGUGAAAGGGUGCGGUAAGAGCGCACCGCGGACGCAGUAAUGCGGACGGCACGGUAAACCCCACCGGGAGCAAAACCGAAUAGGGAUGACAGGCGUUCGCGCCAGGCCCAUUUCCAGGCUGGUCAUCCGGGUUGGUUGCUUGAGGCGAUCGGUGACGAUCGUCCCAGAGGAAUGGCCGCCACGUCCGAGGCUUGCCUCGGACCCUACAGAACCCGGCUUACAGGCCGGCUG